Danio aesculapii is the source of this 262-nucleotide long non-coding RNA. RefSeq lists it as uncharacterized. The record is from RefSeq and is a predicted model, not a curated record. The transcript has 4 exons. Lineage: Eukaryota; Metazoa; Chordata; Actinopteri; Cypriniformes; Danionidae.
CACGAAUCAGGUGGGAAGACGUAGAACUUCAGUUGACAGGAGCACGCUCGUCAUGACAACAAUGAGGGAUGUGUUUGGACUGUACAGUCAACAGGUGCAAGGCUUUGGGACGUGUGGACUACAUUUACUGGCGUGAUGGACAUCUGCUGCGGACAGACAGAUGCAGUAUCCCCGAGUUAGAGGAGAUCAUGAUCACACACUUGAAGCUGAGGAUCACCAUCAAAUGAAAUUGUAUCCCACGAAUCCAGCCACUACGAUGAGG